Molecule: long non-coding RNA, 785 nt
Filed under: Canis lupus familiaris (dog)
Lineage: Eukaryota; Metazoa; Chordata; Mammalia; Carnivora; Canidae
Description: lncRNA (ENSCAFG00040006554.1)
Source: RNAcentral
CCCCUGCCUUCACUCUGCUUCUAAAGUCAAUGUGUCAUCCCCCUCGGCCCACCCCUUGACCUGGAUUUCUCCCCAACUGCCCUGCCUCCUCUGGGCUCACCCCUUCCCCAUUGCCUCAUCUGCUACUCUCCCUUGCCUGGCUCUCUACCCUCUGACUACAUUCUCGCUGGGGACCUGCCUUCUCUUCUUUCCAACUGGACCUGGACUGAAACUCUGAGGCCAUUUCUCUGGUGACGAAAUCCCUCACAUCAGAGGCAAGAGGAUUUUCAAGACCAUUUCCUGCAUAAACAUUAGCUACUGGAGACAGCAUGGUUCAGUGGCAGAAGAUUCAGACUCUAGAGAACACUGUCCAGUUUGCAUCCUGACUGAGGGACCCUGGGUCACAAAUGCAGUUAACACUGGUGAAGAGAGACUGAGAAAAAAGAGGCCAAGAAACCAUCACAUCGGCUACAUGUUCUGAUUUCACAGAGAAGUAGAGUGUCAGACAGGACACAGUCAUAGCUCUAGGGAAAUUGAGGUCUUUAAAAUGAUUAUUUUGAAUUCUAGAUGAUGCCAUUUUGCUUUUCGCAACUCAAUAUUCCAGCCACAGAAUUGUCCCCUUGGAACAUUCUCCUACUUGAAGUUUCCACGGUUUGAAUGAAAGACGUGUAAGAAAUAUUUUCAUAUUGUCUGUCACACUUAAAUUCAAAUGUCAUGUUUAAUGAGCCACAGGCCACUGAUCUAAAGCAGAGAUCAUUAAUUGUUCAAAGCCUAGGGUGAAGUCAGCAUUAGUGUGAUAAUUUGAC